Molecule: non-coding RNA, 21 nt
Filed under: Arabidopsis thaliana (thale cress)
Lineage: Eukaryota; Viridiplantae; Streptophyta; Magnoliopsida; Brassicales; Brassicaceae
Source: RNAcentral
UCAUGUGAGCAGAAAGAGUAG